UACCAGCACCCCGAGUGGUCGGGACGAUUAUUGGGCCUAAAGCAUCCGUAGCCGGUUCUACAAGUCUUCCGUUAAAUCCACCUGCUUAACAGAUGGGCUGCGGAGGAUACUAUAGAGCUAGGAGGCGGGAGAGGCAAGCGGUACUUAGUGGGUAGGGGUAAAAUCCGUUGAUCCAUUGAAGACAACCAGUGGCGAAGGCGGCUUGCCAGAACGCACUCGACGGUGAGGGAUGAAAGCUGGGGGAGCAAACCGG
This 253-nucleotide ribosomal RNA is filed under the name uncultured bacterium. Its description in RNAcentral is "partial 16S ribosomal RNA". It matches the Rfam family "Archaeal small subunit ribosomal RNA", at positions 474 to 727 of the family's 1478-position model. The record is from RNAcentral.